Molecule: ribosomal RNA, 975 nt
Filed under: uncultured bacterium
Lineage: Bacteria
Description: bacterial SSU rRNA
Rfam family: Bacterial small subunit ribosomal RNA
Source: RNAcentral
UUGUAUGUACCGUUCGAAUAAGCAUCGGCUAAUUCCGUGCCAGCAGCCGCGGUAAUACGGGAAGAUGCGAGCGUUAUCCGGGAUUUAUUGGGUUUAAAGGGAGCGUAGGCGGGCUGUUAAGUCAGCGGUUAAAUGUCAGUGCCCAACAUUGGCAUGCCGUUGAAACUGGUGGUCUUGAAUACACACAAGGAAGGUGGAAUUCGUCGUGUAGCGGUGAAAUGCUUAGAUAUGACGAAGAACUCCGAUUGCGAAGGCAGCCUUCUGGGGUGCGAUUGACGCUGAGGCUCGAAAGUGCGGGUAUCAAACAGGAUUAGAUACCCUGGUAGUCCGCACAGUAAACGAUGAAUGCUAGUCAUUGGUGAUACACGAUCAGUGACCGAGGGAAACCAUUAAGCAUUCCACCUGGGGAGUACGCCGGCAACGGUGAAACUCAAAGGAAUUGACGGGGGCCCGCACAAGCGGAGGAACAUGUGGUUUAAUUCGAUGAUACGCGAGGAACCUUACCCGGGCUUGAAUUGCAGAGGACAGGCUGAGAGAUCAGUUUUUCUUCGGACCUCUGUGAAGGUGCUGCAUGGUUGUCGUCAGCUCGUGCCGUGAGGUGUCGGCUUAAGUGCCAUAACGAGCGCAACCCUUGUCCUUAGUUGCCAUCAGGUUAUGCUGGGCACUCUGGGGAGACUGCCAUCGCAAGAUGUGAGGAAGGUGGGGAUGACGUCAAAUCAGCACGGCCCUUACGUCCGGGGCUACACACGUGUUACAAUGGGGGGCACAGCGCGCAGCUACCUGGCGACAGGUUGCGAAUCGUGAAAUCCCCUCUCAGUUCGGACUGGAGUCUGCAACCCGACUCCACGAAGCUGGAUUCGCUAGUAAUCGCGCAUCAGCCAUGGCGCGGUGAAUACGUUCCCGGGCCUUGUACACACCGCCCGUCAAGCCAUGAAAGCCGGGGGCGCCUGAAGUCCGUUACCGCAAGGAUCGGCC